GACGAACGCUGGCGGCGUGCCUAAUACAUGCAAGUCGAGCGAAGUUUUUCUGGUGCUUGCACCGGAAAAACUUAGCGGCGAACGGGUGAGUAACACGUAAAGAACCUGCCUCAUAGACUGGGACAACUAUUGGAAACGAUAGCUAAUACCGGAUAACAGCAUUAACUGCAUGGUUGAUGUUUAAAAGUUGGUUUUGCUAACACUAUGAGAUGGCUUUGCGGUGCAUUAGCUAGUUGGUGGGGUAAAGGCCUACCAAGGCGACGAUGCAUAGCCGACCUGAGAGGGUGAUCGGCCACACUGGGACUGAGACACGGCCCAGACUCCUACGGGAGGCAGCAGUAGGGAAUCUUCCGCAAUGGGGGAAAGCCUGACGGAGCAACGCCGCGUGAGUGAAGAAGGAUUUCGGUUCGUAAAGCUCUGUUGUUAGGGAAGAAUGAUUGUGUAGUAACUAUACACAGUAGAGACGGUACCUAACCAGAAAGCCACGGCUAACUACGUG
Molecule: ribosomal RNA, 499 nt
Filed under: uncultured bacterium
Lineage: Bacteria
Description: partial 16S ribosomal RNA
Rfam family: Bacterial small subunit ribosomal RNA
Source: RNAcentral